AAAGUCGUAACAAGGUUUCCGUAGGUGAACCUGCGGAAGGAUCAUUAUCACGUAUCCACGUAUAAACCAUUGUGAACCGUUCUUUAACCUCCACAAGUGUUUUUGGCGCGCACAUCGUGAACGUCAAAAAUGUGAGUGGAGCGUAUUCAACCUAUUAACCAUUUUAACCAAUCUUUAUAACUUUAUGAACUAACUUUAUUUUAUACUCUUCGGAGAUAAAAUUCAUUACGAAACAAAGAACAACUCUUAGCAACGGAUAUCUUGGUUCUC
This 270-nucleotide unclassified non-coding RNA is filed under the name Cercozoa sp. Its description in RNAcentral is "partial contains small subunit ribosomal RNA, internal transcribed spacer 1, and 5.8S ribosomal RNA". The stretch from base 1 to 47 matches the Rfam family "Eukaryotic small subunit ribosomal RNA", at positions 1785 to 1831 of the family's 1831-position model. The record is from RNAcentral. Lineage: Eukaryota; Cercozoa.